Long non-coding RNA from Sardina pilchardus (European sardine), 640 nucleotides. RefSeq lists it as uncharacterized. Lineage: Eukaryota; Metazoa; Chordata; Actinopteri; Clupeiformes; Clupeidae. The record is from RefSeq and is a predicted model, not a curated record. The transcript has 3 exons.
UCAAGACAUACCAUGACACAGAUCAAUAUUUUCUGUAUGCUAAUUGUUAUUCUUUCUAGGUUGUUUUGUACAUUCUUUCUGUCUCCUCUACCCUCGUAUGAUUCAAGAUAUGUGUAGAAUUUCACACGUGUUGUGCAACUGAAGUCCAAGUUUAUGCCAGAACUUGACAUCAUCUGCUCCAGGCUGUUUGCUGAGUGCCAUAGGAAGGGAGGAGAAACAGGACAUAAGAUUAAGGAGAUCAUGGCUGCCAUUGAUUGGAAUCCUAUCAUUGGCUCGUUGAGAGUUUGCCACCUGAAAGCACUUGUUGUGUACUUGAAGACCCCGAUAAACUCAUAAAGGAAUACCUGAGCUGCCAGAUGGUGUCAUCACUGAAAGCAGUCAUAAACAACAUGGCAGAUUCGUCUAUUUCCUCCAGCCAAAGCGACUCACCAUGCACUACCAGUGACACUGGCAGUGAAGACAUGGUAUUAUGACUGAAGGACCUUAAACCAAUCCCUCAUUAGCAUUGGUAUUAGAUUAACAAGAAAUGUUAUUUAUUUUAGCUUUUGUUUAUACUUCAUUUUACUUCAUGUGGCUGAAUUGCCAGCUGGAAACCAGUAUUUUUGAUAAUGUAUUUGUUUGCCCUUUUUUUUCCAUUUAA